Molecule: long non-coding RNA, 1326 nt
Organism: Sycon ciliatum
Lineage: Eukaryota; Metazoa; Porifera; Calcarea; Leucosolenida; Sycettidae
Exons: 2
Source: RefSeq, a predicted model, not a curated record
UUUCGUUCGCUCUCCAGUUGAAAAGGUGUUUCAACAUCUUCUUCACGCUCACUACCAAGGGACGUUGACGUUCUUAUACGUUUUCGUGGGGAGAAUACUUCACCAAGAGAGAUCGAGACGGCUACGAAAAGAAGAUGGAAGGUCCAAAGGUGUUGCUAUCUGUGUCUCUCUGUAUGAUCGUCUGUUGUAGUUAUGGUCUAGCACAACAGCCUCCCCAGGUUCGUUACGUCCCCGUGCCAUAUGCCCGAACCGCGUAUUGUGCCAAUGGUGAACAAUAUGAUCCCAUGGACCAGAUCUGCUGCCAGGGUGUAGUUCAACAGUUGACAGGUCCUCCGCAUGUAUCUGUGUGCUGCAAUGGAGACGUCAUCAACAAUCUCACAGAGAAGUGCUGUAGAGGGCACGAGCGUGCCAGAGCCGAUCAAGCCUGCUGCGGUCCGGAGGCCUAUGACCUGUUUAGCGGAGAGCUGUGCUGCGGAAGCCGGUAUAUCUAUGAGCCUGGCUUCGAUAUCUGCUGCCACGGCUACGUGGCGCCGGCCGAGAAUCACAUCUGCUGUGAGAAAGGUCCAGUGAAAGUCGCGCAGGGCGCACAGGCCUCAUCGACGUGCUGUGGCUGCGGAGCGGUGAAUUCCCAGACAGAAAUGUGCUGCGGCGGCCAGCCCAUCAGUACGAGCUCCAGUACGGAGGCAUGCUGCAAUGGCGACACAGUGUACAACCCUACGAAACAGGUGUGCUGCUCUGAAGGUGGCUCCAUGACCGUGCUACAGGGAGACACGUGCAAGCCAGACAGACAGACAGCCAGGGCUAAUGCCAACACCAGAAUCAAUUUGAAUCCUUUGGGCAGAAGAAGGAAAUGACGUCAAUGGGCUUACCAAAAUUGGAUUGAACAAUGUCGCGUCGGUACCGCUAAUGCAACAAGCAACCUGCUUCAUGAACAUAACAAUGUAUAUGUACGUGUAAUUGAAUAUUCAUUUGUAGAAGACAAGCACUAUACUCGUGUAGCAUAUUCGUGAUUAUACCUUUCUCUACCUUUCUCUACCUUUCUCUAUGAUCUUCUCGCUGUGGAUCUGUCGCCGCCCUUCAUGCACUCUGCUUUGGGUUCAUCCGUUAAUCUAUAACACUAUAUUGACUAUUCCUCACUGAACCUCCACACUGCUCAGUUCAUACUUGGUAACAGUAUUUGUUACACUCACCUCAGUCCCAUUGUCGCAGGUUCCAUCUUUUCAGAUAGUAUCAGCAGCUUGAUGGCAUAAUCCAGCAUCCAUAUUAGUUUAGGUCUGGUUACUAUUUUGAGGUCAUUGAAAUGAAAAGUAAAAUGAUGUAUUCUUA